Molecule: ribosomal RNA, 375 nt
Filed under: uncultured organism
Description: partial 16S ribosomal RNA
Rfam family: Bacterial small subunit ribosomal RNA
Source: RNAcentral
GUAGGGGGCAAGCGUUGUCCGGAAUUAUUGGGCGUAAAGCGCGCGCAGGCGGUCUCUUAAGUCCGAUGUGAAAGCCCACGGCUCAACCGUGGAGGGUCAUUGGAAACUGGGGGACUUGAGUGUAGGAGAGGAAAGUGGAAUUCCAUGUGUAGCGGUGAAAUGCGUAGAUAUGUGGAGGAACACCAGUGGCGAAGGCGACUUUCUGGCCUACAACUGACGCUGAGGUGCGAAAGCGUGGGGAGCAAACAGGGAUUAGAUACCCUGGUAGUCCACGCCGUAAACGAUGAGUGUUAGGUGUUAGGGGUUUCGAUGCCCCUUAGUGCCCGAAGUUAACACAUUAAGCACUCCGCCUGGGGGAGUACGACCGCAAGGUUG